GGUGGCUUAGUGGUAGAGUGCUUGCCUUUUAUGCAUGAAGCCCUGGGUUCGAUUCCUCAGCACCA
Molecule: transfer RNA, 65 nt
Filed under: Dipodomys ordii (Ord's kangaroo rat)
Lineage: Eukaryota; Metazoa; Chordata; Mammalia; Rodentia; Heteromyidae
Rfam family: tRNA
About the family: Transfer RNA (tRNA) molecules are approximately 80 nucleotides in length. Their secondary structure includes four short double-helical elements and three loops (D, anti-codon, and T loops).
Source: Rfam by way of RNAcentral